This 442-nucleotide ribosomal RNA is filed under the name uncultured soil bacterium. RNAcentral's name for it is "bacterial SSU rRNA". It matches the Rfam family "Bacterial small subunit ribosomal RNA", at positions 26 to 518 of the family's 1533-position model. The record is from RNAcentral.
AGAACGAACGCUGGCGGCAUGCCUAAUACAUGCAAGUCGAACGAACACUUCGGUGUUAGUGGCGCACGGGUGCGUAACGCGUGGGAAUCUGCCCUUGGGUUCGGAAUAACAGUUGGAAACGACUGCUAAUACCGGAUGAUGACGUGAGUCCAAAGAUUUAUCGCCCAGGAAUGAGCCCGCGUAGGAUUAGCUAGUUGGUGAGGUAAAGGCUCACCAAGGCGACGAUCCUUAGCUGGUCUGAGAGGAUGAUCAGCCACACUGGGACUGAGACACGGCCCAGACUCCUACGGGAGGCAGCAGUGGGGAAUAUUGGACAAUGGGCGAAAGCCUGAUCCAGCAAUGCCGCGUGAGUGAUGAAGGCCUUAGGGUUGUAAAGCUCUUUACCCGGAUGAUAAUGACAGUACCGGAGAAUAAGCUCGACUAACUCCGUGCCAGCAGCCGC